Molecule: unclassified non-coding RNA, 336 nt
Filed under: soil metagenome
Description: partial contains 5.8S ribosomal RNA, internal transcribed spacer 2, and large subunit ribosomal RNA
Rfam family: 5.8S ribosomal RNA (bases 1-120)
Source: RNAcentral
GAUGAAGAACGUAGCGAACUGCGAUAAGUAAUGUGAAUUGCAGAAUUCAGUGAAUCAUCGAGUCUUUGAACGCACAUUGCGCCCGCCAGUAUUCUGGCGGGCAUGCCUGUUCGAGCGUCAUUUCAACCAUCAAGCCCCCGGCUUGUGUUGGGGACCUGCGGCUGCCGCAGGCCCUGAAAAGCAGUGGCGGGCUCGCUGUCACACCGAGCGUAGUAGCAUACAUCUCGCUCUGGGCGUGCUGCGGGUUCCGGCCGUUAAACCACCUUCAUAACCCAAGGUUGACCUCGGAUCAGGUAGGAAGACCCGCUGAACUUAAGCAUAUCAAUAAGCGGAGGA